UGCAUGGUUAAAUUAACUAACUAUGAUAUACAAUUUAAUUAACAUAAUACAUAGUAAAUAAACACUGUAUGCAGUUAAAUUAACACGGUACACAGUUAACUAAACAUGGUACAUAGUUAAAUUAACACAGUAUACAGUUAAUUAAAUAUGAUAUAUGGUUAAAUAAUACUAUAUAUAGUUAAAUUAAUACGGCACACAGUUAACUAAAUAUGGUAUAUAGUUAAAUUUGUUAGAAAUCCCUACAGUUUCGUACGUGUAGUUUAAAACUUUUUCUAGACAUCUAUGCAGUAAAAAUAAAUAAAUUAAAAUAAUUUUAAUUUAUUCACAUACC
RNAcentral lists this long non-coding RNA (331 nucleotides) under Elaeis guineensis (African oil palm). RNAcentral describes it as "long non-coding RNA (EGUI_LNC047630)". The record is from RNAcentral. Lineage: Eukaryota; Viridiplantae; Streptophyta; Magnoliopsida; Arecales; Arecaceae.